GACGAACGCUGGCGGCGUGCUUAACACAUGCAAGUCGAACGGAAAGGCCCUGCUUUUGUGGGGUGCUCGAGUGGCGAACGGGUGAGUAACACGUGAGUAACCUGCCCUUGACUUUGGGAUAACUUCAGGAAACUGGGGCUAAUACCGGAUAGGAGCUCCUGCUGCAUGGUGGGGGUUGGAAAGUUUCGGCGGUUGGGGAUGGACUCGCGGCUUAUCAGCUUGUUGGUGGGGUAGUGGCUUACCAAGGCUUUGACGGGUAGCCGGCCUGAGAGGGUGACCGGCCACAUUGGGACUGAGAUACGGCCCAGACUCCUACGGGAGGCAGCAGUGGGGAAUAUUGCACAAUGGGCGGAAGCCUGAUGCAGCAACGCCGCGUGCGGGAUGACGGCCUUCGGGUUGUAAACCGCUUUCGCCUGUGACGAAGCGUGAGUGACGGUAAUGGGUAAAGAAGCACCGGCUAACUACGUGCCAGCAGCCGCGGUGAUACGUAGGGUGCGAGCGCUGUCCGGAUUUAUUGGGCGUAAAGGGCUCGUAGGUGGUUGAUCGCGUCGGAAGUGUAAUCUUGGGGCUUAACCCUGAGCGUGCUUUCGAUACGGGUUGACUUGAGGAAGGUAGGGGAGAAUGGAAUUCCUGGUGGAGCGGUGGAAUGCGCAGAUAUCAGGAGGAACACCAGUGGCGAAGGCGGUUCUCUGGGCCUUUCCUGACGCUGAGGAGCGAAAAGCGUGGGGAGCGAACAGGCUUAGAUACCCUGGUAGUCCACGCUGUAAACGGUGGGUACUAGGUGUGGGGUCCAUUCCACGGGUUCCGCGCCGUAGCUAACGCUUUAAGUACCCCGCCUGGGGAGUACGGCCGCAAGGCUAAAACUCAAAGGAAUUGACGGGGCCCCGCACAAGCGGCGGAGCAUGCGGAUUAAUUCGAUGCAACGCGUAGAACCUUACCUGGGUUUGACAUGGAUCGGGAGUGCUCAGAGAUGGGUGUGCCUCUUUUGGGGUCGGUUCACAGGUGGUGCAUGGCUGUCGUCAGCUCGUGUCGUGAGAUGUUGGGUUAAGUCCCGCAACGAGCGCAACCCUUGUUCACUGUUGCCAGCACGUUAUGGUGGGGACUCAGUGGAGACCGCCGGGGUCAACUCGGAGGAAGGUGGGGAUGACGUCAAGUCAUCAUGCCCCUUAUGUCCAGGGCUUCACGCAUGCUACAAUGGCUGGUACAGAGAGUGGCGAGCCUGUGAGGGUGAGCGAAUCUCGGAAAGCCGGUCUCAGUUCGGAUUGGGGUCUGCAACUCGACCUCAUGAAGUCGGAGUCGCUAGUAAUCGCAGAUCAGCAACGCUGCGGUGAAUACGUUCCCGGGGCU
This 1347-nucleotide ribosomal RNA is filed under the name uncultured bacterium. Its description in RNAcentral is "partial 16S ribosomal RNA". It matches the Rfam family "Bacterial small subunit ribosomal RNA", at positions 28 to 1381 of the family's 1533-position model. The record is from RNAcentral.